GACUCGGUGGCGGGUGGUCCGCGUCUGCGCUUGCUAGGUGGAUCUGAGUCGAAAGUCGCUUGGCAGAAGGUGCCUGUUCGAAUCAGGCUCGAGUCA
Molecule: non-coding RNA, 96 nt
Organism: Mycena epipterygia
Lineage: Eukaryota; Fungi; Basidiomycota; Agaricomycetes; Agaricales; Mycenaceae
Source: the annotation of a GenBank genome assembly